Molecule: non-coding RNA, 64 nt
Organism: Cavia porcellus (domestic guinea pig)
Lineage: Eukaryota; Metazoa; Chordata; Mammalia; Rodentia; Caviidae
Source: Rfam
GGGGAUUUAGCUCAGCGGCAUAAGCACCUGCCUUGCAAGCAGGCGGUUGUGAGUUCAAUUCCUG